CUUUCGACCGCAUCUUCCAUCUUCUUCUAAAACUAACAAGGCAAUUAGAGAUUUACAUCUUCUAAUCGAGUUCUUGAGAUAUUGAGUCAUGGUAACAAGAGAGUGAAGCAUCAGAUUGGUAUGACUAAGAACAUACGCAGGCCUUAGUUUUAUAGCGACUCUGGCUGUAAUUUAUCAUGCUUUCAGCAGUAGAAAGAUCAGUUUAUAGCGCCUCUGGCUGUAAUUUAUCCAUCUCUGGCAUUUGGUCAAAUUCGUCUUCUUGGGAUCACUUAGAUAAGCAGAAGUCGAGAGGCUGAAUGAGCAAGCUUGGAGAGAGCUUAUGGAGAUUCUCUUUGCUAUUACUAUCGUUCGACAUGACUUUUCUAGUGGGUUUCUUCCUUUGGUUGUUACUCUUUUGUUGAUCAAGGCUUUACAUUGGCUUGCUCUUUUGUUGAAUUCAUUGAGACUUGUGAUAUUAUGUA
Camelina sativa (false flax) is the source of this 461-nucleotide non-coding RNA. NCBI's taxonomy places the organism in Eukaryota, Viridiplantae, Streptophyta, Magnoliopsida, Brassicales, Brassicaceae. The record is from RefSeq and is a predicted model, not a curated record.